AUUCCAGCUCCAAUAGCGUAUAUUAAAGUUGUUGCAGUUAAAACGCUCGUAGUCGGAUUUCGGGGCCUGCCUGCCGGUCUGCCGAUGGGUAUGCACUGGCAGGCGCGUCCUUCCUUCCGGAGACUGUCCCUACUCUUAACUGAGCGGGGUCGGGAGACGGAUCGUUUACUUUGAAAAAAUCAGAGUGUUUCAAGCAGGCAGCUCGCUCUUGCAUGGAUUAGCAUGGGAUAAUGAAAUAGGACUUUGGUGCUAUUUUGUUGGUUUCGAACACCGAAGUAAUGAUUAACGGGGACAGUCAGGGGCACUCGUAUUCCGCCGAGAGAGGUGAAAUUCUCAGACCAGCGGAAGACGAACCACUGCGAAAGCAUUUGCCAGGGAUGUUUUCAUUG
RNAcentral lists this ribosomal RNA (389 nucleotides) under Haptolina sp. RNAcentral describes it as "partial small subunit ribosomal RNA". It matches the Rfam family "Eukaryotic small subunit ribosomal RNA", at positions 582 to 975 of the family's 1831-position model. Lineage: Eukaryota; Haptophyta; Prymnesiales; Prymnesiaceae. The record is from RNAcentral.